RNA transcript from Marmota monax (woodchuck), 12616 nucleotides. RefSeq lists it as uncharacterized. Lineage: Eukaryota; Metazoa; Chordata; Mammalia; Rodentia; Sciuridae. The record is from RefSeq and is a predicted model, not a curated record. The transcript is spliced from 4 exons.
UGUCUCCUGGCAGGGGAGAGCAGGGGGCCAGGCCGAGGUUGGUGACCCCAGCUGGGGCUUCCCAUCACAGCCCCUCCUUCACUGACCCCCGAGAGCCAUGAUGGGAACGGUGCCCCCAGAGAUACCCAGCAGGGGACCAGAGAACAAACCUCUUGGCCCAACGGAGGCUGCAUCAGCUAAGAAGGGUGCCAGAGCCCUUGCGCUGCCCACAGGAUGCCCGGCUGCACUGGGGGCUCUGGGGCCUCCCCUGCCUAGAGUGAGGCUGUCGAGCUCCUGACCCAGCAGUGCCCUGCCUCCACCCCAGAGGCAGCAAAGGAAGGACGCAGGCGCUGCAAGGGCUCGGGACACACCGACCUCGACACUAACUUGUCUAUGGCCUGGGCAGAAGGUGGCCACUGGCCGAGGCUCAGACAUCAGCAUCAAGAGGUAACUUGGUGCAUGUUGGUAGAAAGCCUCUGAGCCCAAGUGACAGGGAACAGACAGGUUUCCCUUUCUGCUUCCGUGUUCCCUUCUAGGCCCUGGGCCAGCAGCCAGCCCAGACCAAAUCCCAUUCCAGGGGGGACCCGGGAGGCCAGGCCUGCUUGGCAACUGCUUGGAAGUGAAGAUCUGUGACUUGUAGGCCCAUCCCUGUAGGGACCCAUGGGACAAAGCCCUGUUCCCACUCUGGGCAGCCAGCACUGGCCGCAGAAACAGCCUCCACCUCAGGGGCGCACACCCCAGCCUUCACUAGCCUCAGCGGCACAAAGCCAGUGAGGAACUCCACCUGCUCAAAGUUCCCCAACUGCCUGGUCUCUCCACCACCAAGGUCAGGAAAGAUCUCUUUUACUAAUCACCUUCGGGCCCCCGGGCCCCUCACCUGUUCUGAGGACAUGUUCUCUUCCUCAGGGAACACAGGGCGGGCGUGUUUGAAAAUGAGGUCUCUGGCUACCCAAUCCCUACACCCUCCAUCCCUGAUCUCUAUGAAGGUCCCACAUUGGGUGCCACUGAACCCCAAGUCCAGCGGAGGAAGGACGGCAUCCAGACAAGGGCUGCCAGGGUGCCGCUUGUGUGGGAUGACCACUCUUCCUGGUUUCCCAGGACAAAGAGGCUCCUGGGACACUGGACUUCCAGCUUUAAGAUCAGGUCAGGCCUGGGCAAACCAGGAAAAGCUGGUCACCUUACCAUCAGGGCUGCCCUGUGGAGGGACAGCACAGGAAUACCAGGGAAGGUGGAGGGAGGUGAGGACUGUUCUGCCUGUGGAGAGCUCCUCGAACUAAGUGGCCCUCACUGGGACUUUCUCUGGGCAAAGCUGUCACUGAGGUUGUCUGGGCUCAGGAAGCGGGAGGGGUAGCCUGCCUCUAGGAGCCCCUGCUUCAGGAGGAACCCAGCGGGAGUGCCCACUGCUCCUCGCCUGAGAGGUCCAGAGAGCCGCUGCUAUUUCAAAACUGUUGUGGGUGCCGCCGACUGUCAGCCUGGAGGGAGAAGGGCUCUGGGGAGGGAAGCAGAAGCUCCCAGGUCUCCGCACUCAGUGCCAGAAUCCCACAGCUCAGUCAGAAGCUGCCUGGGGAGCCCUGGGGGAGCCCUGAGCUCCCCACCGCUGCGAGGCCAGCCCAGGAGGUCUCUCCUGCUUGCUGUCCCAAGCAGGGACCUAGAUAAGGUGGAACCUGAGCCUUCUCGCCUACCGAUUUAAAAGAAGCCCUUUUAAGGAGUUAAUUUCCGACUUGAGUUCGUUGAUAUUCUGGGACUCCAGGAUCCAGUUGGUGGAUGUGGUGGCCUGAAAGUCAAGACACAGGAGAUGCAGGUCAGAGUGGCACCCCCAUGCCACCCGAGUGGGCAAGGUGUGGCUUAGGAGCACCCUGAAGGCAAUAGCAGCUGGCACAUUUUAUCUGGCCACAGCCUGGCGAUCCUGCGUGAAGGGCCUGGCACUGCCGGAGGCGACUCCCUUCAAAACCACACUCCCUGGGCUCUGGGUGUCUAAGGGCACAGGACAGGCAGCACCGUGGUACUGUGGGUUUGUAAAGUGACGUGAUGCGUGAGCUCUCAUCUUUCAGGGAGACUCGCUGUGGUAUCUGAAAGGAGGGGUGACACCUGGAGGACGGGCAGGAGUCUGCUGGAGUGAGCAAUGCCCUCCCUUCUGUGUUUGAAAUGCUCAUUAAAACAAAAGAACAAUAAAAACUAAAUCCCACUCCUUCCAAAAGAAAUGCCCCUUGGAAGUGAGCAAGGGGCUCAGCCGGGGUGGCCUCAAAACUGGUGUUCCUGAGCCUGGAAGCCACACCGGGCAUCAGAGAGGCUGGGGCACCUCAACCCUUGCGGGCCACUCCUACAGCCUGGAGGACAGGCUUCACCACAUGCUGGGCUGCUUGGAGCUGCUGGGGACCUCCUGCUCCUGCUAGGUGAUGUCUGGUCUCUAGAGGGCCCUGGGGGCCAGAGGACAUCCCAGGACUGCUCCUCCCUGUCUGCAAAGCCACCUGCAGGUCAUGCUACCCAAUCACAUCCCUUCUUUGGGAUGACUCUGGUUGCAGAGCAGAGAAGAGAACAGCCCCUGGGCUCUGAGCUGCCCUUCCCCAGGGCCAGGACAGAACCUCCUUCACACAGGGCUGCUGCACAUGGCUUUUGGCAAAUCCUGUCAGGACAGAUGGACAAGAGGAGAGCCAAUCCCACCACCCCGCAUGGGAGCUGCGGGUGGCCAAGCCGCCGGGGGUCCCCACUCCAGAUCAGCAGAUGACGAGGGCACAGAAGCUGCUGAUGAGCUCCUCCGCGCCCUGGAAGCUACAGCAGCCCAUCAAGCAGGAGAGACUUCCACUCCCGGCCUGCACAGGACUCCGAUUACCAAACGCAUGUGCUGCCAGAUGCCAGGAUUCAGAAAUAAAAUCUGACAUCUGGGGCUUUUUAGCCAAUCUCUUUAAAAAACAGUUGUCGAAAACUCGCAGCCUUCAGUUUUAUGUAGGUUUUUUUAAUUACUUAAAGCUCUUCUUUUUAAUUUUUUACAGUGCUCCAGUAGGAGUUUGGAAGCCAGAUAUAAAAACUUACAUCACAGCUGAGAAAACACAGCUCUGAGUCUUUGGUUUAUGGGGUAACCAAAGUCCUCACAUGUGUUUAGAUGCCAGGCUGGAGAACCCCACUUCAUCACCAAGAGGGGGACAGAAGCCUGGAGGGGGAGGGGCUUGAGAACAGCAAGCGGAGGAGUUCUAUGGGGCCAUCUCAGCCACCAGGAAAAGCCCACCCCACCCGCCUUCAAAUUCAACACGUGGUCUUAAUCGUAAUGUUUAAGGUCUGAAAGCAAUUUCCCAGUUUCCAGAAUGGCUGCUGGCCACUGACAGGCCACUGAUCCAAAAGAUAACCAAGUGGGGUGAAGGCUGCUGCCACAGGGACCCACAGGGGCUGCAGCCACCUGAGGAGGGGGUGAGGCAACACCUGGGUGUGGGAGAGACAUCGGGAGGGGGUUCUUGGGUCUUCACAAGAGGCACCUCAGACUCUAUCAGAAGCAGGAAGUGAUCCACUUUCCUGGUUUUGCAAUCUAGUGCAUUGAAGGUGUCUUCCCUUAGCAGAACAGACUGGGUAAAAUCCUUUAGAGGACAUUAUGGAGCCACGGGACCACUGUCUCCUGGGCCCUGUCUGCCUAAGCCAUGAUGAUGCUAUCAUACACCCAUGAAAACCAGGGCCUGCAACCCUGAGACCUGACCAAAGUCAGGCAACAUUCUAAGCACAUCCACAAUCCAGCAAAGCAGGAACCAUCAUAGCUCCAUUAUAUACAUGAGGAAGACUCAGAGAAGUUAAGUAACUUGCCUGUGGUCCCACAGCUAGCAAGUAGGAAAGUGAGGAUUCUAACCCAGCAGAUGGAUCCCUCAGUCUGAUACUGCCCAGACUGCUGCAGAUUUGGGCAAUAAGGCAUGGAAAACUUCCUCAGUCGAUCCUGGGUGGUUCCCAUUCCACUGGGAUCACCCAAGCCCACGUACUUGAGGCAAGGUUAGCCCAUGCACCUGGGGCGGGCACAGGGGUUGCUGGGAAACUGCACACUUCUCCCUUCUGUCCCCUCAUAUUCUCCCUGUGACUUGCAGCCCAACUACAGGCACCUACGAUGAUGGCGCCCAGAGCUGUGGGGGUGUGGCUGUCAUCAGAGGUCACAGAGAAAAGGGCAGCUUUCUUCCCUCCUCCUGUUGGGAGGUGACAGGAAGGGUGGCCUCAAUGGGUAACUGCCAUCCAAGUGUACGGUGAUGCCUCCCUUUUCCACAGGAAAGGUUAGACAGCAGAUGGCAGGUGAAGGACAUUCAGACCUUGGAAGACAACAUUCAGACCUGGGGCACAAGGACCAGGGCGAAGAGCUGGACAGGACAGACAGGGCCUGGGGGAACCCAGGGCCCAGAGGCCCUGCCCCCUCACCUCCGAUGACUCAUCUGCGCCCUGGAAACCCACCUGCGCUGGACCUGCCCUCCGGAUUUCCACUCUGUCUUUCUACUGUGUGCUUGUCCGUGGUCAACAGCACACCGGUCCAGCCUCUCCCUCUAAUCACGCCCGGCUGCGCCAUCCUGGCUCUCCCGGCCCCUCUCACUGCCUCACUCAUCUCAUGGGCCUAGCCGUGUCCUUGGGAGCUCAGGGCGUGUCCAGCCUGGGAAGGCCGAGGCUCAGGCUUCCGCCACAUCCAGGAGGACUGAAACUGCAGACCCUGUCUCCAGUGCGCCUUCCUAUCCUACUCCCACCCUGAGGCUGUCUGCCUAGACCCCACUGUCACAUGGCCCCUGGGACCAGGUAUCACCGCAUCACCCUCCUAGGAGCAAAUGCCAGUGUGACAGAUACAUGCUACAGACUUCUGAGGAUUUCACGAAGGUGCCCCUGAGGGACAUGGGCUACCCGGACAGGAGGCUCCCGCCUGCCUCGGGGUUUGAGAUGCAGAGCUCCACCUGGUAAACAAGCUUAUAACGGAGCAGAGCCACCUCUGGCGCGACAGGUCCCAGCUAAUCUGGGCCAUCGCUGGGGCAGCGGGUAAUGAACGCCAGCCCUGUGGAGUCGAUAACAGAGGAGGUGGCCGGGGUCCCAGGAGCCACAGUAAUUACAGACUCUCCUGACCCUGCCGUGGACUCUUACAGGGAAGGGGGGAAAUCAGUGAAAACCCCCCUGAAAACCUCAUAGAAGCAGAAAUUAAAAAUGAACUUUACAGCCCUUAGAAAGGCUGUCAUUUUAUUCCCCUUAUUAAUAUUCUGAGGUUGGGAGCCUUUCCGUAAAAACAUAAUUAAUUGAGGCCGCGCCGACAGUAAACAAGCAAUUUCAAAUUAAACCGAAAUGACGGCGGCUUCAUUUGCAAAUGUGAACAGAUUCUCAGAGCAGAUAAAUGAAGUCACCACAUAAAGUGGAGACGGAGGGAGAGGGGAGGGGCCGCGAAGGGGCUGCGUGGAGAAGGCUUUGAGGGGUGACUUGAUGGAGUCAUUAAUCUUUACCUGUCUGGGCCACGCUGCCACUCAGCUCAGAGAGACUCGCCGCCAUCCUCUCCAGCUGCUUCCUGUCCUCGCGGCCGCCCAGGAUGAGGGGCAGCAGGUACUUCUGCAAGAAGCAGAGGGGCGGGAGCGGUGUGCACACAGGUACCUGACAUCCGUCUCUCAAAUCCCGCCACCCAACUUUCCCUCGUCCUCCCCAGGUUUGGGGAACCCUGGCACAUCCAUAAGCGAACAAAAUACUUGAAAAAGUUACAAGACUGCGAUUAUAACCAUCUAAAAUUCUGUCUGAAUAAGGACAAGGAUCGGGAGAGAACAGGGAUGAAGAAAGCCAGUGUGCAUGUGCACAUGCGUGUGCGCUGGGGACAGAACCCAGGGUCUGGCACCUGUCGGGCAAGCUCCACCACACAGCUGCAACCUGGCCCCAGGAAAACCAGUUUGGUCUGCUGUGACAGGAAACUUUUAUUAGUGAUGUCAUAUUUUCAUGACAAAAACUUUAAAUUCUACUUUAACAGUUGUAAGAUGAAAAUGUGGAAGGAUAUAUAGGAAAACAAUGCUGUCGGCAGCCUCCUGUUUCACCCUUCAAAACAAAUUAUUAAAAUUAAAUGAAUAAAAACUUACUCAAGAAACUAAAGGGAAAUCAGCUGCAGACUUCAGGGCCCUGGUUUUUAGUAGGGAUGAUACCGUGGUCUCCCGAGAUCACUUGGUCUUUGCUAAACCAAGGCUGAAUCCUCAGAAGCAGCCUCCUUCAGAGACAAACAACUCACUUCUCACAGGUACCCCAGGGGGUAAGCUGCACCUGGCGACUGUGAUGCCACCAAAUAAGAACCCUGAACACCCGGUCCUCUGAACACUGGAAGAAGGCCCUCGAGGGCAUAGCUGGACACCCUGCUGCAAGGCUUGGAACAGGGGUGUGUGGAAGGGCGGAGGCAGGCAGCAGGCCACUGGACAGCAGGAUGAGGCGAAUGUCCUUCGACCCACAAGACAGGGGCCAGCACACGAGGACCCCUAUUUGAGGGGAGCGAGACCCAGUGCAACUUGAAAAGGAGGGUGCUAGAGCUCACGCGGCGUGGGCCUGGCUGGGCCACACAAGGGUACUUUGUUUCUUAGUCUAUUUGGGCCCCAGAUGGGGAAAAAAGAUGGAAACUUCUCCAUUAAGGCUUCUGUAUGGGGAAGGAGAAGGCCCUUCACAGGGGGUUUGUGGGAGAGCUUAUUUCAGGAGUGACUCCUAAGUGAAGACCAUCAUUCAGCUUAAGUGUAGAAGCAUUUUCUAUUUUGCAAAGUGCUUUUCAGCCACCCUGUGAGUUAUUACUCACAACUGAGCUAAAACUCAUCAAAUGUAGUCUGACGUUGCAGGUGGAAAAUUCCCUAAGUAUAAAAGUCAAGAAACUCUCACACAUGUAAACAACUAUGGGCUCCAUUUCUGAGGUCAGAAGUGACAAGAGGCACAUGCCCUGUUCGGCCUAAGUCUUAUGCAUGUGUGCAGCAAGAGGGUGGCUUUUUCCCACUUUCUUUUUUCUUCUUUUAAUUUUUUAAAAAAUAUUUUUUAGUGUUAAUGAACUUUUAUUUUAUUCAUUUAUGUAUAUGCGGUGCUGAGAAUUGAACCCAGUGCCUCACACGUGUGAGGCAGGCACUCUACCACUGAGCCACAACCCCAGCCCCUCUUUUUUUAAUUUAAAAAAACUAUCAACAAAUAUUCUAGAAAUUCUUUAUUUUUUUCUUUUUUAGUACUGGGGAUUGAAUACAGAGGUGCUGUACCACUGAAACACAUCCCCAGCGCUUUCUUUUGAAUUUUGAGAUUUCUUUUGAAUUUUAAGUUGCUUAGGGCCUUGCUAAAAUUAUUGAGGCUGGCCUUGAACUUGCAACCCUCCUGCCUCAGCCUCCCACGUUGCUGGGAUUAUAGGUGUGUGCCACUGCACCCAGCUCUGUUCCACAAAUUCUUCAGUCACCAUUGUGACCGACAUUUCAAUGUCUUUCUUCUUUUAUAAAGCAGGUGAGAGGGGCUGGAGCUAUAUAGCUCAGAGGCAGAAAGCUUGCCUAGCAUGCGUGAGGCACUGGGUUUGAUCCUCAGUACCUCAUAAAAAUAAACAAAUAAAAUAAAGGCAUUCUGUCCACCUACAACUUAAAAAAAAAAAUUUAAAAACCAAACCAAAAGAAAAAAAAAAAAAAACAAACAGGUGAGAGCCCCGAGCUCUGUGGAGACGGACAGCAGCCCUCUGGUGCACCUACACCAAGGGGCUGUGCUUCCUGCUCCUCUCAGGGCCUGCGCUGUGGCCUGUGGCCUGAGCCUGUGGGGCUCACAGGGCCGAGGCACUCAUUGGAAAGCUGUGUGUUGUCAUAUUAUCCUUCCUGGUGCCUAAUCUGUGCCAGUGAUUUGGAAGAAGCCGUCCACACACAAGAAACGGGUGGGUAUCCACUCAGAGGAGGGAGUCCUAGGAUCCAGAACAUUUUGCUUCCAGAUUUUUAAAAAUUGAUUAAUCUAUUUGACAGCAGAAUGCAUUUGACACACUGUACACAAAUGGAGCACAACUUCUCCUUCCUCUGGCUGUCCACGGUGCAGAGUCACUCCUCCAGUGUAAUCGUGCAUAUAUACAUGGUAAUAAUGUCUGUCUCCUUUUACUGUCCUUCCCAGCCCCACAACUCCACUCCUCUCCUCUCACUCCCCCCUACACAAACCAAAGUUCCUUCGUUCUUCUCUAUCCCCCCACCCCCACUAUGAAUCAGCAUGUGCUUAUCAGAGAAAACAUUCAGCUCUCAUUUUUUGGGGGAUUGGCUUAUUUCAUUUAGCAUGAUAUUCUCUAGUUCCAUCCAUUUACCUGCAAAUGUUAUCAUCUCAUUCUUCUUUAAGGCUGAGUAAUAUUCCAUUGUAUAUAUGUACCACAUUUUCUUUAUCCAUUCAUCUGUUGAAGGCAUUUAGGUUGGUUCCAUAGUUAAGCUACUGUGAACUGAGCUGCUAUAAACAUUAAUGUGCCUGAGUCACUACAGUAGGCUGAUUUUAAGUCCUUUGGGUAUAAACCAAGGAGUGGGAUAGGUGGGUCAAAUGGUGGAUCCAUUCCAAGUUUUCUGAGGAAUCUUCAUAUGGCUUUUCCAUAGUGCUUGCACCAAUUUGCAGUACCACCAACUAUGUAGCAUACCUUUUCCCCCACACCCUCACCAACACUUAUUAUUGUUUGUAUUCUUGACAGCUGCCAUUCUGACUGGAGUGAGAUGAAAUCUUAGAGUAGUUUUGAUUUGCAUGUCUCUAAUUGCUAGAGAUGAUGAACAUUUUUUCAUAUGUUUGUUGAUGGAUUGUAUUUCGUCUUCUCUAAAAGUGUCUGUGCAGUUUCUUAGCUGAACUGAUUGGGUUAUUCAGUUUGUUGUUUUUGUGUGUGUGUGUUAAGUUUUUGGAGUUCUUUAUAUAUCCUGGAGACUAGUGUUCUAUCUGAGGUGUGUGUGAUAAAGAUUUUUUCCCAUUCUGUAGGCUCUCUCAUCACGUUACUGAUUGUUUCCUUUGCUAAGAAGUUGCUUCCGGAUUUCUACAUGGCAAUUUCCAACUACAGCAACAGAUGUUCCACUGAAAAAAUGUUAUUCUGCUAUAACUCUGCCAUUAGCUUUUGUAUUAAGCCCCAAACUAAGAAUCCCAGGAUGCAAGGUUUAAAUGUAUUUCACUUGCUAAAAGUUACAAUGGUGAGUCUGGAAUUCAUUCAGGCCCUGGGUGGCCUCCAGGUUGAGCAGAUCUUGGACCUGAGACCCAACCUGGCUCUUCACCUUCUAGAAAAGAUCCAAGGUGGGCCUUUUCACUGGUGUCAACAAAGUAAAUGUUUGCUUGGUGCCUAGGUUCUGUGGUAAGCAAUCAACUCUGCUUAUGAGUCCUGAGGAAUCCUACGUUAUACAUUCCCUGGAAGAGAAGGCAAUCCCACGAACAUGGCUACACUGAGGUUCCCCAACCUGGCUUUAAAUACUAAGGUAGAACAACGGAGUUUGGGGUACUUCCAGUGAGUCAGCCGCUUGUCUCAGCACUUUCCUGUGCUCUUCAUUACAAUCUCACGAAGCAGGUACUGCAGCUGCUCCUCAAUGAUGAGGAGAGGGAGUCAUGUCACAAUGAAGCACUGGACAUCAACAAUGAUGCAAUACACCUCAUCUCCCAGGCUACGUUCAACGUGCCUAAAACAUGCACAUCAGCUGACGGCUUUCCGAACCAUCCGCCUCACUGGGGACAGCAGAGACAGCUAGUCAUCUGGCCUCAGCUGGGCAGAGGUGUGCAGCAGCAGUGAGCUGAGUGACCAGCAUGGAGCCAGGGGGCAGGGCCCUGUGAGGAUGGCGUGAACACACCCCGGUGUACAGAACCACAUGUGCAGACGCCCUACUCCAGAGAAAGAUCAUCGAGGGCACCACAGACCAAGGUGACCUCCCUGCUCUGCUCUCACAUGGAGCUGGGGAGAAAAGACAGAAGACACAAGUCUCUGAAGGACGGAGCAAGGCAACUUCACAGAGUGACAGAGCCUAUCCAGGGCAUGUGCCUGUGGGGGUAGCGGGGGGAAGAGACCAGGGGUCAGCAGGGUCUUGGAGGAGACCAAGACCUGUGGUUCUGGGGACAAGGGAAAAACAAGCAUCAAGUAAGGAAAGUGGGUCAGUGUGGACCUGCUGAGCACCUGGGCCUCAGCAGGGGAGAAGAGAUGCUCUGGUCAAAAGAACUGCAGGAAGAGUGUCCAGGAGAACACAGGGAGUCAAGUCUACCUGCGGGUGGGAAGGAAAAGACAGGGCCCAGGAGUCUGAACACCAUUUCACCAGCAGGGGGGAGACACCGCAGGAUCUGGGUGAGGGUGGUGAUGGGAUCUGCUCUAGGACAGCAGCGUGGGUGGCUGUGAGGACAAGGCACAAGUGGAGUCCCGGAAGCAUGAAAGCUGGGGAGAGCUCUGCAGGGACACACAAAGGCAAAGAGGGUCUGGGAUAGGACGGAGGCCAAGGAAUGGAGUUGGGAGCCAUCUCAGAAGAAUUUGCUGCUGUUGUUGAGGAACUGGUUCCUGAACCAAUUCCCUUUAGAUCAACACCCCCCGGCCCCCGUUACCUGCAGCGUCCCUUUCAGUUACCUGUGGUCAACUGUAGUCCAAAAAUAGUAAACGAACAAUUCCAAAAAAACCCCCAAUUCCCAAGAUUUGAGUUGCAUCCCAUUCUGAGUAGCAUGGUGAAACCUCAGCUGUCCCGCCCUGUCCCACCACUCUGUCCAUCACAGCCAUGCUGAAUGUGCUACCUGCCCUUUAGUCACUUAGCCAUCUCGGUUAUCAGACGGCCGUCUCACGGUCACAGUGGUUACGUUCAAGUCACCCCCAUGUAACUCAACAAUGGCUCCAAAACAUAAAAGCAGUGAGGCUGGCAAUCUGGAUAUGCCAAAGAAAAACCUUUAGUGGCAAAAGUUCUCAAUACAGAAAGAAAAAUGAUCAUAUGCUGAGCUUGCUAAAAUCAAUGGUACGACACAAUUAUUUUAAGAGAGAACACAUUCAGAUAAUUUUUAUUAUAACAUACUGUUAUAAUUGUGCUAUUUCAUUAUUGUUCAUCUUACUGUGCCUAACUUAUAAAUUAAACUUUAUCAUAGAUAUGAAUGUAUGGGGGAAAAACUGUAUACAGAAGGUUCAGUCUUACCUACAGUUUCAGACGUCCACUGGGAGUCCUCCCCUAUGGAAAAAGGGGGCCUAGCACAUCCGAGUCCCCACAGCUCCCGAGGGACAUCCCAGGUGCACAGGAGAGAUCUCCCGACUGCACUCCCCUACACAGAGUUCACAAAGUGCUUUCAUGAUCUGAUCCCAUGAGGCACCACUGUCCACUCCAACGCCCUCAGCUAUCUCUAGGCCACCUAGCAAACACCCUCCCUCCUCAUAGGAGACUGUCAUUAAAGGAGGGGUAGGGGCUACUGUUCUCAGAAUGUUGGGUGGCAUAGGCUUCAUGCCAGCCAUGAAAUGAGCCUGCAGUGCCACUGGGAAGUUGACCAGAGGGCACCCCCAUGCAUGCUGCUGUGCUAGGGAAGCGGGGCCCUGAGUGAUCUGAGAAAGGGUGAGAAAGGAAGAGAAACAUCCCCAAACUCUAAGAGGGAGCACCACUGCCCGGCCAGCGCUGCCUGGAGACACUGAGUGCUUUUAGACACCUGAGUGCUUCUGCUUCUACCUCUCUCACCCGUGCUUGCCAGCUCUCAGAGGUUACCUGUCCCUCCUGGUGUUUGAUGACCAAAGCAGAGGAACAGGACUCCUCUUUUAAGUUCAGUGGCAGGAGGUGAGUGCACAGGGAGGGAGGGUGGCCAGCAUGCAGCCUAGCAGGGGGAUUCGAGUCUCAGAGACCUUUAAGUGGGCAAGAGGGAAACCCCCUCCUCCCCGGGCCGCUGGGCUCUCAAGAGACAGAGGGGACAGACAAGAAUCUCUCCUUAGCCACCACAGUCCCCUCUGUCCUCCACCUAUGGAUUCCACAUGAGAUUCCCCAACAUGGCUCAGCCUCACCUUGUUACAAAACUGUAAUCCACACGUGGCCUCUCCCAGCCCUCAACCCCCAUUUUUUGUUUCCCCUCUUUGGUCAGGCAGCACACACGCCGCUUCAACGUCCAACAGCAGGAGCCAGAAAGGUCUACUGAGAAAGGUCUCCCUCUCUACCACCACCAGUCAUGGAGAAUGGUUUCUUGUUUAUCCUUCCAGAGAGUUUGACACACAUAUAAGACAACACAGAUGUGACUUGGUUUUCCUCUUUCCCACCUAUUUUCCAAUUUUCUUUUUUUCCUACAGCUCUAUAAUAUUCUAUUUAACCUGUUCCCUGCUGGGGGCACCUAACUCAUCAGUGACUGUGCACACGUGUCAGCUCCCAUAUAAGACAAGACUUCUGUAAGCCUAAGACUUCCUAGGACAUGGGUCAAAGGCAUGGGCCUCUGUCAUUUGAGAAAUCCUACAAAAUGGCCUCCAUGGUGUUCAGCGGACUCAUCCCAUCAGCCACGCACCCGGUGCUGUUUCCCCACAGGCAGCCCGACAGUGUGUGUCGUCAAACACGCAUUUCUGACAGUGGCAGAAGGAGAGCGGUGCUUCGCUCUGGUUCUAGCUUGCGUUGAUCUUAUUUUGAGUGAGGACCGGGCGUCUCUUCAACAGCAUUUCCUUUCUGGUGUACUGUGUGUUCUCCACUUUUCUACUUGACUUCUCUCCCUCAGCACUUCUGUAAUACAGCAGGGAUGUUAGCCCUUUAUGACACAAAUCAUAAACAGC